AUUGGAUGGCCUGGGUGUAUCUAAAAAAUUUUUUAUAAUUCAUUAUCAUAAUAUUUUUUUCAUCUAAAAUGCAAUAGAAUAGGGAUCUAAAAGAUUGCUUGGAUUGUUCCAAUCUAAUACAUAGAUACUGUGCUGAAAUGGUUUAGCAUAGAAAAUUCCAAGAAAAGCUAUAUCUUGAUAAACCAUCGAAUUACUCUCUCUAAGAAUAAUUGUCGAUAUCUCCUCAAUAGAUAGAGCAUAUGUGUAGAGUCUCAUGUACUACAAUAGUGGGAUCUAUCAUGUA
Molecule: long non-coding RNA, 283 nt
Filed under: Elaeis guineensis (African oil palm)
Lineage: Eukaryota; Viridiplantae; Streptophyta; Magnoliopsida; Arecales; Arecaceae
Description: long non-coding RNA (EGUI_LNC079553)
Source: RNAcentral